AGAACGAACGCUGGCGGCGUGGAUAAGACAUGCAAGUCGAGCGAGAUUUUCGUUGUAGCAAUACGAUGGAAAGUCUAGCGGCGAACGGGUGCUUAACACGUGGGCAACCUGCCAUGAAGUGGGGGAUAGCUCGCCGAAAGGCGAAUUAAUACCGCAUGUGAUUAGAGAGGACAUCCUUUCGAAAUUAAAGUCGGGGCAACCUGACGCUUCUUGUGGGGCCCGCGGCCUAUCAGCUAGUUGGUGAGGUAACGGCUCACCAAGGCUUUGACGGGUAGC
Molecule: ribosomal RNA, 276 nt
Filed under: uncultured bacterium
Lineage: Bacteria
Description: partial small subunit ribosomal RNA
Rfam family: Bacterial small subunit ribosomal RNA
Source: RNAcentral